GCCGCUUUAGCUCAGUUGGUAGAGCAUCGCAUUCGUAAUGCGGGGGCCACAGGUUCGAGUCCUGUAAGCGGCACCA
This 76-nucleotide transfer RNA is filed under the name Erythrobacter sanguineus. RNAcentral's name for it is "Porphyrobacter sanguineus tRNA_Thr_CGT". It matches the Rfam family "tRNA". Rfam says of the family: Transfer RNA (tRNA) molecules are approximately 80 nucleotides in length. Their secondary structure includes four short double-helical elements and three loops (D, anti-codon, and T loops). Lineage: Bacteria; Pseudomonadati; Pseudomonadota; Alphaproteobacteria; Sphingomonadales; Erythrobacteraceae. The record is from RNAcentral. RNAcentral also lists the same sequence under 5 other names.